GUGGGGAAUUUUUCGCAAUGGGCGAAAGCCUGACGAAGCAACGCCGCGUGGAGGAUGAAGGCCUUCGGGUCGUAAACUCCUGUCGAGCGGGACGAAAGCAGCCUGGCCGAAUACGCCGAGCUGUUGACUGUACCGCGAGAGGAAGCCACGGCUAACUCUGUGCCAGCAGCCGCGGUAAUACAGAGGUGGCAAGCGUUGUUCGGAAUUACUGGGCGUAAAGGGCGCGUAGGCGGCCCGAUAAGUCCCGCGUGAAAGCCCCCGGCUCAACUGGGGAAUUGCGCGGGAAACUGCUGGGCUUGAGUUCGGGAGAGGGAAGCGGAAUUCCGGGUGUAGCGGUGAAAUGCGUAGAUAUCCGGAGGAACACCAGUGGCGAAGGCGGCUUCCUGGACCGACACUGACGCUGAGGCGCGAAAGCUAGGGGAGCAAACGGGAUUAGAUACCCCAGUAGUCC
Molecule: ribosomal RNA, 451 nt
Filed under: uncultured bacterium
Lineage: Bacteria
Description: bacterial SSU rRNA
Rfam family: Bacterial small subunit ribosomal RNA
Source: RNAcentral